RNAcentral lists this ribosomal RNA (406 nucleotides) under uncultured bacterium. Its description in RNAcentral is "partial 16S ribosomal RNA". It matches the Rfam family "Bacterial small subunit ribosomal RNA", at positions 29 to 526 of the family's 1533-position model. The record is from RNAcentral.
AUCGAACGCUGGCGGCAGGCCUAACACAUGCAAGUCGAGCGAGCGGCGGACGGGUGAGUAAUGUCUGGGAAACUGCCUGAUGGAGGGGGAUAACUACUGGAAACGGUAGCUAAUACCGCAUACCAUCAGAUGUGCCCAGAUGUGAUUGGCUAGUAGGUGGGGUAACGGCUCACCUAGGCGACGAUCCCUAGCUGGUCUGAGAGGAUGACCAGCCACACUGGAACGUAGACGCGGACCAGGCUCCUACGGGAGGCCGCAGUGGGGAAUAUUGCGCAAUGGGCGCAAGCCUGGUGCAGCGGUGCCGCGUGUGUGAAGAAGGCCUUCGGGUUGUAAAGCACUUUCAGCGGGGGGGCGUUACCCGCAGAAGAAGCACCGGCUAACUCCGUGCCAGCAGCCGCGGUAAUUC